Molecule: ribosomal RNA, 497 nt
Filed under: uncultured bacterium
Lineage: Bacteria
Description: partial 16S ribosomal RNA
Rfam family: Bacterial small subunit ribosomal RNA
Source: RNAcentral
GAUGAACGCUGGCGGCGUGCCUAAUACAUGCAAGUCGAGCGAACAGAUAAGGAGCUUGCUCCUUUGACGUUAGCGGCGGACGGGUGAGUAACACGUGGGUAACCUACCUAUAAGACUGGAAUAACCCCGGGAAACCGGGGCUAAUGCCGGAUAACAUUUAGAACCGCAUGGUUCUAAAGUGAGAGAUGGUUUUGCUAUCACUUAUAGCUGGACCCGCGCCGUAUUAGCUAGUUGGUAAGGUAACGGGUUACCAGGGCAACUAUUCGUAUCCGACCUGAUGGAGGGAUCGCCCACCUUGGAAGUUGACCAGGGUCCAUGCUCCUAAGGGAGGGCGCAGACGGCUACGUGACGCAGUAGGCGAAAACCUUGCGGAACAACGCCGCGUGAGUGAUAACGGUCUUGGGAUCGUGAAAAUCUGUUACUGGGGAAGAACAAAUGUGUACGUAGCUGUGCACGUCUUGACGGUACUGGAUAAGAAAGCCACGGCUAACUACGUG